AAUAAAAUAGUUACUAUUUUAUUCGCCUGAAAAUUACAAGCCUAAGCUCAAAACUCAAAGGACUUGGCGGCGCUUUACACCCACCUAGAGGAGCCUGUCCUAUAACCGAUAACCCCCGUUAAACCUUACCUUCUUUCGCACUCAGUCUAUAUACCGCCGUCGUCAGCUUACCCUUUGAAGGGAAUAUAAGUAAGCAUAACCGGUUUAGCCCCAGACGUCAGGUCGAGGUGUAGCAUAUAAGAAGAGAAGAGAUGGGCUACAUUUCCUAUACCAGGGUCCUACGAAUAAUAUUUUGAAAUAUAUAUAUUGAAGAAGGAUUUAGCAGUAAGUAAAAAAUAGAGAGUUUU
Molecule: ribosomal RNA, 347 nt
Filed under: Rivulus roloffi (Hispaniolan rivulus)
Lineage: Eukaryota; Metazoa; Chordata; Actinopteri; Cyprinodontiformes; Rivulidae
Description: partial 12S ribosomal RNA
Rfam family: Bacterial small subunit ribosomal RNA
Source: RNAcentral